AAUCCAUAGGUUAAUGAGGCGAACCGGGGGAACUGAAACAUCUAAGUACCCCGAGGAAAAGAAAUCAACCGAGAUUCCCCCAGUAGCGGCGAGCGAACGGGGAGGAGCCCAGAGCCUGAAUCAGCAUGUGUGUUAGUGGAAGCGUCUGGAAAGGCGCGCGAUACAGGGUGACAGCCCCGUACACAAAAGCGCAUGUGCUGUGAGCUCGAUGAGUAGGGCGGGACACGUGGUAUCCUGUCUGAAUAUGGGGGGACCAUCCUCCAAGGCUAAAUACUCCUGACUGACCGAUAGUGAACCAGUACCGUGAGGGAAAGGCGAAAAGAACCCCGGCGAGGGGAGUGAAAAAGAACCUGAAACCGUGUACGUACAAGCAGUGGGAGCACAGGUUUACCUGUGUGACUGCGUACCUUUUGUAUAAUGGGUCAGCGACUUAUAUUCUGUAGCAAGGUUAACCGUAUAGGG
This 462-nucleotide ribosomal RNA is filed under the name Salmonella enterica subsp. enterica serovar Rissen. RNAcentral describes it as "partial 23S ribosomal RNA". It matches the Rfam family "Bacterial large subunit ribosomal RNA", at positions 161 to 662 of the family's 2925-position model. Lineage: Bacteria; Pseudomonadati; Pseudomonadota; Gammaproteobacteria; Enterobacterales; Enterobacteriaceae. RNAcentral also lists the same sequence under 1 other name. The record is from RNAcentral.